GACGAACGCUGGCGGCGUGCUUAACACGUGCAAGUCGAACGGAAAGGCCCUGCUUUUGUGGGGUGCUCGAGUGGCGAACGGGUGAGUAACACGUGAGUAACCUGCCCUUGACUUUGGGAUAACUUCAGGAAACUGGGGCUAAUACCGGAUAGGAGCUCCUGCUGCAUGGUGGGGGUUGGAAAGUUUCGGCGGUUGGGGAUGGACUCGCGGCUUAUCAGCUUGUUGGUGGGGUAGUGGCUUACCAAGGCUUUGACGGGUAGCCGGCCUGAGAGGGUGACCGGCCACAUUGGGACUGAGAUACGGCCCAGACUCCUACGGGAGGCAGCAGUGGGGAAUAUUUCACAAUGGGCGGAAGCCUGAUGCAGCAACGCCGCGUGCGGGAUGACAGCCUUCGGGUUGUAAACCGCUUUCGCCUGUGACGAAGCGUGAGUGACGGUAAUGGGUAAAGAAGCACCGGCUAACUACGUG
Molecule: ribosomal RNA, 468 nt
Filed under: uncultured bacterium
Lineage: Bacteria
Description: partial 16S ribosomal RNA
Rfam family: Bacterial small subunit ribosomal RNA
Source: RNAcentral